CCUACGGGGGACAGCAGUGAGGAAUAUUGGUCAAUGGGCGAGAGCCUGAACCAGCCAAGUCGCGUGAAGGAUGACGGCCCUACGGGUUGUAAGCUUCUUUUGUCAGGGAGCAAUUGGGUUCACGCGUUGGCUUAGCGAGAGUACCUGAAGAAAAAGCAUCGGCUAACCCCGUUCCAGCAGCCGCGGUAAUACGGAGGAUGCGAGCGUUAUCCGGAUUUAUGGGGUUAAAGGGGUGCGUAGGCGGAAUAUCAAGUCAGCGGUAAAAAUUCGGGGCUCAACCCCGUCGUGCCGUUGAAACUGAUGUUCUUGAGUGGGCGAGAGGUAUGCGGAAUGCGUGGUGUAGCGGUGAAAUGCAUAGAUAUCACGAAGAACUCCGAUUGCGAAGGCAGCAUACCGGCGCCCAACUGACGCUGAAGCACGAAAGCGUGGGUAUCGAACAGGAUUAGAUACCCUUGUAGUC
This 460-nucleotide ribosomal RNA is filed under the name uncultured bacterium. RNAcentral describes it as "partial 16S ribosomal RNA". It matches the Rfam family "Bacterial small subunit ribosomal RNA", at positions 338 to 795 of the family's 1533-position model. The record is from RNAcentral.